GCAUAUCAAUAAGCGGAGGAAAAGAAACCAACAGGGAUUGCCCUAGUAACGGCGAGUGAAGCGGCAACAGCUCAAAUUUGAAAUCUGGCCCCCCGGCCCGAGUUGUAAUUUGUAGAGGAUGCUUCUGGGUAGCGACCGGUCUAAGUUCCUUGGAACAGGACGUCAUAGAGGGUGAGAAUCCCGUAUGCGACCGGCCCGCGCCCUCCACGUAGCUCCUUCGACGAGUCGAGUUGUUUGGGAAUGCAGCUCUAAAUGGGAGGUAAAUUUCUUCUAAAGCUAAAUACCGGCCAGAGACCGAUAGCGCACAAGUAGAGUGAUCGAAAGAUGAAAAGCACUUUGGAAAGAGAGUUAAAAAGCACGUGAAAUUGUUGAAAGGGAAGCGCUUACAACCAGACUUUGGGGCGGUGUUCCGCCGGUCUUCUGACCGGUCUACUCUCCGUCCCGAGGCCAACAUCAUCUGGGACCGCCGGACAAGACCUCAGGAAUGUAGCUCCCCCUCGGGGGAGUGUUAUAGCCUGUGGUGAUGCGGCGCGUCCCGGGUGAGGUCCGCGCUUCGGCAAGGAUGUUGGCGUAAUGGUUGUCAGCGGCCCGUCUUGAAACACGGACCAAGGAGUCUAACAUCUAUGCGAGUGUUCGGGUGUCAAACCCCUACGCGGAAUGAAAGUGAACGGAGGUGGGAAGGGGCAACCCUGCACCAUCGACCGAUCCUGAUGUCCUCGGAUGGAUUUGAGUAAGAGCAUAGCUGUUGGGACCCGAAAGAUGGUGAACUAUGCCUGAAUAGGGUGAAGCCAGAGGAAACUCUGGUGGAGGCUCGCAGCGGUUCUGACGUGCAAAUCGAUCGUCAAAUUUGGGUAUAGGGGCGAAAGACUAAUCGAACCAUCUAGUAGCUGGUUCCUGCGA
This 900-nucleotide ribosomal RNA is filed under the name Zymoseptoria brevis. Its description in RNAcentral is "LSU rRNA". It matches the Rfam family "Eukaryotic large subunit ribosomal RNA", at positions 38 to 963 of the family's 3401-position model. The record is from RNAcentral. Lineage: Eukaryota; Fungi; Ascomycota; Dothideomycetes; Mycosphaerellales; Mycosphaerellaceae.